This 76-nucleotide transfer RNA is filed under the name Escherichia coli. RNAcentral's name for it is "tRNA-Thr". It matches the Rfam family "tRNA". Rfam says of the family: Transfer RNA (tRNA) molecules are approximately 80 nucleotides in length. RNAcentral also lists the same sequence under 40 other names. Lineage: Bacteria; Pseudomonadati; Pseudomonadota; Gammaproteobacteria; Enterobacterales; Enterobacteriaceae. The record is from RNAcentral.
GCUGAUGUAGCUCAGUUGGUAGAGCAACUGAUUCGUAAUCAGUAGGUCGACGGUUCGAUUCCGCCCAUCAGCACCA